UCCGCACCCAGGAUCCGAACUGGCGAACCCCGGGUUGCCAAAGCGGAAUGUGCGCACUUAACCGAUGCACCACUGGGCCAGCCCCCUCUUGUGCUUUUCUUAUUGUAGCUGCAUUUUUAAUCUGAUUCCUCUGGCUGGCUCUGAGGCCUUUAGGAAGCCGCCUUCUCACUAGAAGGGCUAAAAUUAAAAAGGUAGUUGAUGCCACAUGGCAAGGCCGUGGAGGAACUGAAACACUCAUACAGGGCUGGCGGGAACGGAGAAGGACACAGUGCAAAAUGGAGGAGAGCUUCUGAUGAAGUUAAAUGCACACCUACCUGUGAUUGAACAGUUCUUCUCUUCGGCAUCUGCCCAAGAGAAAUGACAACCCACAUCCAUACAGAGUUCUGCACAUGAAUGUCCACAGUCACUUUGCGCAUAAUUGCCCCAAAGGGGAAGCCAACCAGAUGUUCAUCGACAGACAAAUGGAUAAAGAAACUGUGGUGCACCCAUGAGACGGACUACUACUCGGAAGGGCAAGGGAUGGGCAAGAGCCUCCAGGAAUCUCACAGACAUUACGUUGAGCAAAAGAAGCUGGACAUGGUUUUCCCCCAAGUGAGGAGAUGAUGUGAGAAGUCUGUGAUGUGAAACAGGGCCCUCACCCCACCGUGCUGGCACCCUGAUCUCAGACUUCCAGCUUCUAGAACGGUGAGGAGUGAGGACGCUGGCGAAGUCACAGCCCCCAAGAGUGUGGCUUCUGUCUUCCCCACCGCCCCGGACCUGGGGCCAGGCCUGGCCAUGUAUCAAGAAGCUGGGCUGGACUGUGAAGGAGGAGGGGCUGCUGGGGUUCCUCAGAGGGGCCUCCCCAGGGGCAGAAAGCACCAAGGCCAUUUACCCUCCAGGGAAUUCAAGGGCUGCCCCAGUUCCCAGUGGAUUUACGAGCGGGUCAAGUGGACCUGAACAAAGAAAGGCUCCUUUCCCCCCCUUUUCGCUAGGUAGCCUCCCCCACCGGGUGUGCAGGCUCUCCUGGCAGAAAUUGCUCCAUUCCCCAUCACCGCCGCCUCUCUCGCUCUUCUGGCGUGAGGGUUUUACAAUAACAGCAUUGUAACCACUUUGAGAAAACCAAUAAAAAGGCGGUGACAAAGGAAUAGCAAGCCGGCUGGAAAUUGCACGCAGCAGCCAGGGCCUGGGCCUUUUGGCGCUGUGUAUUUAAUAGUGCUCCCGGGCUGCAGGCUGCAAAGACGCACAUGUUUAUUUGGGGGAUGUGCUGUGGCUUAAAUGAUGAAUCUCGCAUAAGUAUUUGGAUGAACGCAGGAGGCCCUGACUCCCACAGCCGCUCAAGCCGGUAAACCCAGGAAACGGAGAACCCAGUAAACGCCCUGGUCAGACCUGUAGAGCCUGCUGCCCUGUCUUGUGUGAUGCAGAGGGAGGAGCAUCUGCAUUCAUUCAUUCAUUCAUUCCUUCAUUCAUUCAGCAACAAAACCGGAUUGACCAUGCACUAAACGGUGAGCCCCGUGCUAGACACUAAGCCGUAAAAACACUUUCCCAGUCUGCUUCAGUACACAUAUUGCAGAAAAUUCCAGAGGCAACUUUUGUCUGAGGUCAACACCAGUGCUGGGCCCUGUCCGGUUUCCUGUCCUCUGGGUGCUGACCACCCUGUCCACUGACCCUUGGGGGCCCUCAUGCUCACCAACUCUUGGCUCCGGUCCUCUCCCCUGCUUCCUCAUUCCUCACUGCUCCAAAGAGAAAUUCAAAGUCCUUUAUACAUUUAUUAAUUCUUAGCUUAAAAAAAAUUUCAGGCUCACAGAAAAGUUGCAGAAAUAGUACAAAGAAUUCUGAUAUGCCCUUCACCCAGAUUCUCCAAGGGUUAGCAUUUUACUAAUUUCCUUUAUUCUCUCUCUCUCUCGACAGAUAGAUAGAUAGAUUAGCUAGCUAUAGAUAUAGAUAUUUCUGAACUAUUUGAGAAUAAGUUGCAGACAUGGGGACCCUUUACCUCUGAUCCUUUGGAAUAGAUUUCUUAAGAAACAAGGAUAUUCUCUUACAUAACCACAAUGCAAUUAUCAAAAUCAGGAAAUUAACAUUGCUUUCAUACUGUGAUCUAAUCUACAGAAUUCACAUUUCUUCAAUUGUCCCACUAGUGUCCUUUAUAGCAAAAGAAAAGAAACUUUUUUCUGUCCCAAGAUCCAAUUCAGAAUCAUAUAUUGCCUUUCAUUGUCCUGUCCCUUUAGUCUGCUUUCAUCUGGAACAGUCCCUCAGCCUUUAGGUGCGUUUCUUGACCUUACAUUUUUAAAGCAUACAGGCUAGUUAGUUUGCAAAAUGUCCUUCAACUUGGGUUUGUGUCAUGUUUCCUCACGACCAGAUUCAGGUUCCGUGUGUUUGGCAAGAAUAUCAGAGAAGUGAUGCUGUGUCCUUGCUGCUGCUUCGUUUCAGGAGGCACGUGACGUCAGUUUGUGAUUUGGUUAAAGGGGUGCUUGGCAGCGUUCUCCAAAGGAAAGUGGGGAUUAUUCCCUUUGUAGUUAACGGAUCUUGAGGGCAAAGCCCUUUACUAAUUUGAGGGUUUUGGUCACCAGAAGGAAUGACCGGCAUGGUGAGGCGGAAUGGCCCCUUGCCUGCAUUUCCAACUCCCUCUGGAGGAGAAGCUCUUCCAGGACCUCGCAGUUUUAUGAGCGAGGACGGGGCUCUGGAACCUCUCAUCAAGACUCCUGCUCCACACUCCCACCUCCAACAGCCUCUUUUCCCAACCCAGAGGUCAGAACAGCAAUCUGCAAAACAGCAGGGGGUCCAGUUCCUCCAGGUGACACCCUUCCCACGGGAACGGAGCUGUUAGUUACCUCACCCUGAAACAAUCCCUUUCGGGCAUGUCCUUUAAUGUCUCUUCUCUAGGUCUCCCGUGGGCUGGAGGAUCAGGUGUUAAUAUCAUCAAGUCACAGGCGAGAAGCCUGAGACCCGAAGAGGUUAAACCUCAGUAAACUGACCUCAUUUGGGUUUUCUGAAUUUGUCUGUGAUCUGCAGACCACUCCAGAACUAGUAUUCGCCUUUCUUUGAAGCUAUAGAAUGAUGUGCUGUGGGGUUGUAAACAUUUAAUUUCCGAAAUGGCCGGCAGUGUAACCUGAGUGCGUCUCGUUGCUGAGGACGUGGGAAGGAGCACCCUGACAUUUCUGCUUGUGAUUUCAAGUACCCUCCUCUACUAGUUAUAGCUUUCAUCCCCCAGAGCACACAGACACUCAGAAAGAGGAUGCGGAAGAUGGAGAAAGAGGCCAAUGCGAAGACAGCCAACUUAGAAAACAGCAGGGCCCACUUUGGAAGAGAGCAAGGCCAAUUAGCCUUUUUGGGGGCCAAACUAUAACCUGGGUUGCUAAAUGAAAGAUCCCAGGAUCCUACUAUCUGUUGUCAACAAAGGCCCCUAACUGUUUAAAUGAAUAUAUUGGUAGCCAUCCUCGUCGCAUGGUCACUUACGUAUAUAUAUGUGAUACAGGUGCUUGUGUGUGUGUGCGCGUGUGUGCGCAUGCUCAUGCAUGCACAUAUGCCUCUGUGUGUUCCGACGUAGAGAGAUAUUUACACACUCUGUGAGAUGCAAAAAUAUACGAAUCAUAUGGGAAUCUAUUUAAAAUAUUGAUAUUCUCAGUUAAAUCAACACUGCACAAUAAUGUCAUUGCACACACGAGCUCUCCCCCUCCCGAAGCGCUGCUUGGAAUACCAGAAUCGGCAACUUGCUACAAUAAGCCGAAACGUCCAGAAACUACACUUGAACUAAUGCCGAAAACCCGACGGAGACAUACUUCAUAGUUAAUCUGGUUACUCGGGGUUUAUUUCACAGUCAGAAGUUCUUAUGAUGGAAGGCGCUCCUGCUGGCUUCUCCCAGACACACGACUGAAUUAAUGAAUGAAUGAAUUCAACUUACCCGAGCAGAUUUAAACUGCUUACUGAAACAAAAUCUGGUCAUUUUUCUUCCUUCCGUUUUCUUUUAAAAGAUAAAUACGAGCCUCAUA
Non-coding RNA from Equus caballus (horse), 3965 nucleotides. The record is from RefSeq and is a predicted model, not a curated record. Lineage: Eukaryota; Metazoa; Chordata; Mammalia; Perissodactyla; Equidae.